Molecule: transfer RNA, 74 nt
Filed under: Apaloderma vittatum (bar-tailed trogon)
Lineage: Eukaryota; Metazoa; Chordata; Aves; Trogoniformes; Trogonidae
Rfam family: tRNA
About the family: Transfer RNA (tRNA) molecules are approximately 80 nucleotides in length.
Source: Rfam by way of RNAcentral
GGCCAGUUAGCUCAGUUGGUUAGAGCAUGGUGCCAAUAACACCAAAGUCGUGGGUUCGAUCCCCAUUCAGUCCC